UUACUGUUCAAAUACUGAGAAGAGACGUGCGGUGAAGCAAUGACUCGGCUAACUGUGCUAGCAUGCUAGGCAGUGAGAGCGUAUUGCUGUCUCUCUGUGUGUCGCUAUUAAAAUGUUCAAACACUUUUGCUAUAUGAACUGAAUUUCCAUAGUUUAGCUGAUGUAUAUAAUGUACAGUGUUUUUUGUCAACAACUGUAUGUGUGCAGCGUGUUUCUUGUACUGAGCAAUCAUCACACGGCCGUGAAAAGGCGCGAGGUGAGGCACGCAGUUCUCCUGCCUCACGGUAGGGGGCACUCGAGAGUCCAGGGAUUCUUCUUACGACUCCUCGACUGCAGAAUAAGUGACAGCAAGCUACAAUCUGGAGUUAGCAAGUCAAGUGCAGCCAUCCGUUUAUUUUUCCUCUCGUCUGGCCUUACUUUCAAAAUGGAGGCUUACGUGUACAGAGGGAGCGGCGCAUGGACUUCAUUUACAAGUAAAGGGCCGCCGGCUGUGGUUUGGUCAGGCUGGCAGCAGCUGCUGGCAGAGUGGCGUCGGACGCAGACGGUUUGGCCGUCGCAUCCUUCUUCCUCACAUCCCGCGGACUGUCGAGAGAAAGCUCCACUGUGGCUUCUGUCGGACAGGAAAAGAAACCAGGCUUGUAUCGUUACACUGAGUCACGUCAUCGUUUACUCCGCAUCCUGGCCCUGUUAUAAGUUCAUAUAUAAGUCAUGUGUGUUUACAACAGGGUGGCAGAAAUGCCUCAUAGGUGAUAUAAAGUUUAUAUGUGGUGUAAGUUUACAGGGUCAGUGUGCAAACAUAAAAGCAAAGUACUGACAAAUUCUGACAGCAUUUUAUCAAACAUGUUGUUUAGUACACAAAUGGCGAUUUUAUAUUCAUUUAUCAAAUUUGUAAGUUACUUAUGAACCCUUGUAGUGAACUAUAUUUCAGAUUUUUCCACGGGGGGGACAUUUCAUCCUGGACAGAAGGAGUCAGCGUUCAAACCACCAACCCUGUGAUGAAUGGAAAAAUGGAAUUGAAUUUCACUCGGGAUGAUUAAAGUAUCUAUCUAUCAUCUAUCUAUGGCUCCAUCCUCUGAGCUGCAGGCUUUUCUUUUCUUUCUUUUCUUUGCAGGCUUAAGUGCUGGACUCCUGCAAACUGUCAACACUAAUGCUUGUUUCUUUAAUAUGUUUUGCGCUGACAGUGUGCAGGCUAUUCUGGUCUGUCUGGAUGUGAUAAUAAACCUUUUGACCUUGAGGCGACACAAAUAAA
Molecule: long non-coding RNA, 1249 nt
Organism: Scatophagus argus
Lineage: Eukaryota; Metazoa; Chordata; Actinopteri; Scatophagidae
Exons: 2
Source: RefSeq, a predicted model, not a curated record